This 497-nucleotide ribosomal RNA is filed under the name uncultured bacterium. Its description in RNAcentral is "partial 16S ribosomal RNA". It matches the Rfam family "Bacterial small subunit ribosomal RNA", at positions 28 to 507 of the family's 1533-position model. The record is from RNAcentral.
GAUGAACGCUGGCGGCGUGCCUAAUACAUGCAAGUCGAGCGAACAGACGAGGAGCUUGCUCCUCUGACGUUAGCGGCGGACGGGUGAGUAACACGUGGAUAACCUACCUAUAAGACUGGGAUAACUUCGGGAAACCGGAGCUAAUACCGGAUAAUAUAUUGAACCGCAUGGUUCAAUAGUGAAAGACGGUUUUGCUGUCACUUAUAGAUCGAUCCGCGCCGCAUUAGCUAGUUGGUAAGGUAACGGCUUACCAAGGCGACGAUGCGUAGCCGACCUGAGAGGGUGAUCGGCCACACUGGAACUGAGACACGGUCCAGACUCCUACGGGAGGCAGCAGUAGGGAAUCUUCCGCAAUGGGCGAAAGCCUGACGGAGCAACGCCGCGAGAGUGAUGAAGGUCUUCGGAUCGUAAAACUCUGUUAUUAGGGAAGAACAAAUGUGUAAGUAACUAUGCACGUCUUGACGGUACCUAAUCAGAAAGCCACGGCUAACUACGUG